This 451-nucleotide ribosomal RNA is filed under the name uncultured bacterium. RNAcentral's name for it is "partial 16S ribosomal RNA". It matches the Rfam family "Bacterial small subunit ribosomal RNA", at positions 354 to 796 of the family's 1533-position model. The record is from RNAcentral.
GUGGGGAAUAUUGGACAAUGGGGGGAACCCUGAUCCAGCCAUGCCGCGUGUGUGAAGAAGGCCUUUUGGUUGUAAAGCACUUUAAGCGAGGAGGAGGCUACCGAGAUUAAUACUCUUGGAUAGUGGACGUUACUCGCAGAAUAAGCACCGGCUAACUCUGUGCCAGCAGCCGCGGUAAUACAGAGGGUGCAAGCGUUAAUCGGAUUUACUGGGCGUAAAGCGCGCGUAGGUGGCCAAUUAAGUCACAUGUGAAAUCCCCGAGCGUAACUUGGGAAGUGCAUUCGAUACUGGUUGGCUAGAGUAUGGGAGAGGAUGGUAGAAUUCCAGGUGUAGCGGUGAAAUGCGUAGAGAUCUGGAGGAAUACCGAUGGCGAAGGCAGCCAUCUGGACUAAUACUGACACUGAGGUGCGAAAGCAUGGGGAGCAAACAGGAUUAGAUACCCGGGUAGUCC